CACCCCUGCAGCCCCUCAGGCCCUGGUUCCUGCCUCCCUCCUCACCUUGAAUGUGCCCCACCCCCAAUAUCCUACCAGGGACCCUUGGCCUGAGGCUGCCCAGGUGACCUUCCCUAAAGCCAGCUCAGUGGCCCUCACAGCCCUGCCACACUCAGCAUCUCUGAGACUCAGUUUCCCCAUCCGUGAGUUGGGGGGGUGGCACCCAUCCCAGACGCCUGUGAGCUUCGUGGGACAGGCCAGCGCCCGGCAGCGGGGAGCCGCUCAGCUCUGCACCGAGAGGGACAAGUGAUGCUGGGCCAGCUGCUGGAGUGUGAGCGACCCCGGGGCGGCCUGGAGGGGCGGGGCGGGAAGGACACGACCCCCGUCAGUGCUGCCCACCUUCGAAGUCAAUCCUCCCGUCCCCGUCGGCGUCGGCUGCCUGGAUCAUGGCCUCCGCCUCCUCAUCUGUCAGCGGGGCGGCGGGCCCGCUGCUGGGGGUGGUGGACAGGACGUACCUGGGCCAGGUGGACCCGGGUCAGAGCCAGGGCGUCUGGCCAGUGCCGGAUGGUUUGCCAAGUGCUCGCUCCCCACUUUACAGGUGGGGAAACUGAGGCCCAGCUAGAGCCGGGUCUGGUGCUGUCCCUGUGGCCCUGGGCAGCCCGGCCCUGCCUCCCGAAAGGGUCUGGAAGGCCUUGCGGAUGACGCCCUCCAGCUGCCCCGAGGCCUGGAGCUUCUGCAUGUACUCGAAGAACUUGAGGGAGGUGCCCAUGGCCAAGGCCACCUUCUUCAUCUGGGAGGACAGGAGCCAGCUCAGUGUGCGCAGCGGGAGGGGCCCUCCGCUCGGACCCUGCACGGUGCCGGCUCCUGCCCUGAGUGGGGUCCCUAGGGGCCCAGGCCAGGCCUCGGGGCCCCCGAUCUUGCAGAGGCCCCUGUGCCCAGGGCCCCAAGGAGGACGAGCCUGAGCCCCCACCUCUUGCUAGCUGGACACCUUGAGGUAUUUCACCCAUUUCACAGAAGAGACUAAAGGUCUGAGACGGUAAGCGAUGCACAGCAGUUCCUUCACUCUGCUCAGGAGAGGUGGCAUUGGCAACCAUCCGAUCCCUCCGUGCUGCCAGGGGAAUUCCCUGUGUCCUUCAAGGCCCAUCUCAAAGCCACCUCCUCUGGGAAGCCUUCCUGGUUACCUAAGCAUCACUUCUUCUGGCCAAAACUCAAGGCCCAGGGGCUUGGCCUCACUCUCCCGGCCCCCAGACAGUGGGCCCUGGUCGUCCCUGCUGGACGCUGACCACCUGUGGUGGGGUGUGCUGGGUCUGGGCCAGUCUGGAG
This is a non-coding RNA of Miniopterus natalensis, 1302 nucleotides long. NCBI's taxonomy places the organism in Eukaryota, Metazoa, Chordata, Mammalia, Chiroptera, Miniopteridae. The record is from RefSeq and is a predicted model, not a curated record.